RNAcentral lists this ribosomal RNA (738 nucleotides) under Bacillus sp. C10. RNAcentral describes it as "bacterial SSU rRNA". It matches the Rfam family "Bacterial small subunit ribosomal RNA", at positions 61 to 779 of the family's 1533-position model. Lineage: Bacteria; Bacillati; Bacillota; Bacilli; Caryophanales; Bacillaceae. The record is from RNAcentral.
GUCGAGCGGACAGAUGGGAGCUUGCUUCCUGAUGUUAGCGGCGGACGGGUGAGUAAACACGUGGGUAAACCUGCCUGUAAGACUGGGAUAACUCCGGGAAACCGGGGCUAAUACCGGAUGGUUGUUUGAACCGCAUGGUUCAAACAUAAAAGGUGGCUUCGGCUACCACUUACAGAUGGACCCGCGGCGCAUUAGCUAGUUGGUGAGGUAACGGCUCACCAAGGCAACGAUGCGUAGCCGACCUGAGAGGGUGAUCGGCCACACUGGGACUGAGACACGGCCCAGACUCCUACGGGAGGCAGCAGUAGGGAAUCUUCCGCAAUGGACGAAAGUCUGACGGAGCAACGCCGCGUGAGUGAUGAAGGUUUUCGGAUCGUAAAGCUCUGUUGUUAGGGAAGAACAAGUACCGUUCGAAUAGGGCGGUACCUUGACGGUACCUAACCAGAAAGCCACGGCUAACUACGUGCCAGCAGCCGCGGUAAUACGUAGGUGGCAAGCGUUGUCCGGAAUUAUUGGGCGUAAAGGGCUCGCAGGCGGUUUCUUAAGUCUGAUGUGAAAGCCCCCGGCUCAACCGGGGAGGGUCAUUGGAAACUGGGGAACUUGAGUGCAGAAGAGGAGAGUGGAAUUCCACGUGUAGCGGUGAAAUGCGUAGAGAUGUGGAGGAACACCAGUGGCGAAGGCGACUCUCUGGUCUGUAACUGACGCUGAGGAGCGAAAGCGUGGGGAGCGAACAGGAUU